UAUACAUUUGUCCAAACCCACAGAAUGUAAACACCAAGAGUGAACCGUAAUGUAAACUCUGGGCUUUAGGUGAUUCUGAUGUGUGAGUGCUGAUUCAUCAGUUGUAACAAGUGUACCCUCUGGUGGGGAUGCUGUAAAUAGGGAAGGCUAUGCAUGUGUUGGAACAGGGGGUAUAUGGGAAAUCUCUGCACUUUCUUCUUAAUUUUGCUGUGAACCUAAAACUGCUCCAAGAAAAAUGAAGUAUUUAAAAAAUAAAUAUAAAAUUUUAAAAUGCAUAUACAAAAAACUUGAAAUGGAUCAUAAACCUAAAACUACACAACUUCUAGAAGAACACAUAUGAGAAAAUCUUUGAUUUGGGAUUAGGCAGACAUUUUUUUCGAAUAAAAAAUUGCAUGAAUGGCAAAAGAAAAAAUUGAUACAUUGAACACGACCAAAUUGAAAACACUGGCUUUUCAAAAGACACUGUUAAGAAAAUAAGAAGGCAAGCCACAGCCUGGGAGAAAUAUUUGCAAAACACACGUGUGAUAAAGAAUUUUGUGACAGUCAUCAAUUUUUUUUUUUCUUCUUCUCAGGUCUAAAUCCUUCUUUGCCUGCUCUGUGAUGAUGGAAGUGGGCUGUGGAAAUAUUUCACCUGCGACAUUUGGUAUGAUGUAAUGCCAGUAGAGGAGGCUGGAAGAACAGUGAAAAAGGAAGGAAUUUCCUCUUCCUGUUUCCCGAGUCCUGCAGGGUGCAGGGUCUCUUGCACUGGGCUCCUACAGGGUGCAGCUUCCCCAGCUCCCAGUUCUGGUAGCUCAGGGCAACCAGCAGAGCCCAGCUGCUAGAAGCUUCCCUCAGAACUUUCUCAAAGUGAUGUGCCACUGGCAAGGCACCUGACUAUGAACGACUUCUUUGAGCAUCCCUCAGUUGACUUUGCAGCAACUUCCAAGGUCAUUUAAACAAAUUUUUAAAAAUUCCCUUUAACAAUAAAGAGGAAACCAAGGAUGCAGAUUAUGGCAAGAACAUAGUCAAGUUCCAAUACAAAAGACGAAGCAAGAUGUGUCCUAAGAAAGUGGAGAUGAAGUGUGAGAAUUCAAGGGACCCAGUGAUGGCUUCCACCUGGGCAUACCAGAAAGUUGCGUCUGCCCUAUGAUGGAAGACACGGUCCAAGCAAACCUUGGAGGUGGCGCUGGGCUGGGCCCUGCCAUGUGGAGCAAGCCAGGGCUGGCCAGGUAGGUGGCCCUGUGAGAUUAUCUGGGUACCAGCCUGGGAUCUGUGGGCUCUGAGAGAAACCAUAUCGAUCAAGGUUGUGAGUAUUUCUCUUUGUUUUGCUCUUCUUGCAUGGUCCCCUAAAUUUUGUUAGCUCCUUCUAGAGGCUGUGCCUGGUUUCUGUUAAGUAUGAUGCAUUGAGAAAAGAGCCCCGGCCAUGCUUGGGGCUGAGUGGCUAUGAGGAGGCCAGU
Long non-coding RNA from Orcinus orca (killer whale), 1436 nucleotides. RefSeq lists it as uncharacterized. The transcript is spliced from 4 exons. Lineage: Eukaryota; Metazoa; Chordata; Mammalia; Artiodactyla; Delphinidae. The record is from RefSeq and is a predicted model, not a curated record.